RNAcentral lists this unclassified non-coding RNA (401 nucleotides) under fungal sp. RNAcentral's name for it is "partial internal transcribed spacer region". The stretch from base 1 to 46 matches the Rfam family "Eukaryotic small subunit ribosomal RNA", at positions 1786 to 1831 of the family's 1831-position model. Lineage: Eukaryota; Fungi. The record is from RNAcentral.
AAGUCGUAACAAGGUAUCCGUAGGUGAACCUGCGGAUGGAUCAUUAACAAAAAGUGAAUCAUCAGAUAUUUUGGUGGAUCUUGUCGCCUGGGAAACGGUUGAGAUUCAUUUUCUGUUGAAGCACUAUAAUCCAUUCAGGCGUCGUAUGAAAACGUUCGGCGCACCUUCCCCUUUCUCGGAGUCUGAUAUUACUAUUAGCACUCUGGGGAUGAACAUUAAUGUGUUUAUUGUAUUAUACAGGUUUGUAUUGUAUAGUAGACACAUCCCUGACUCUUCACAGAGUCAACACUACAUGUUGUUUUGGUGCAUUCGUGCCAACAAUAGUUUAUUUGUCAUAGCGACUAGAAAUUUUAUGUUGAAUUAAACCAAUACAACUGUUAGCAACGGAUCACUCGGCUCUG